ACGAACGCUGGCGGCGUGCUUCACCCAUGCAAGUCGAACGGAAAGGCCCUGCUUUUGUGGGGUGCUCGGGUGGCGAACGGGUGAGUAACACGUGAGUAACCUGCCCUUGACUUUGGGAUAACUUCAGGAAACUGGGGCUAAUACCGGAUAGGAGCUCCUGCUGCAUGGUGGGGGUUGGAAAGUUUCGGCGGUUGGGGAUGGACUCGCGGCUUAUCAGCUUGUUGGUGGGGUAGUGGCUUACCAAGGCUUUGACGGGUAGCCGGCCUGAGAGGGUGACCGGCCACAUUGGGACUGAGAUACGGCCCAGACUCCUACGGGAGGCAGCAGUGGGGAAUAUUGCACAAUGGGCGGAAGCCUGAUGCAGCAACGCCGCGUGCGGGAUGACGGCCUUCGGGUUGUAAACCGCUUUCGCCUGUGACGAAGCGUGAGUGACGGUAAUGGGUAAAGAAGCACCGGCUAACUACGUG
RNAcentral lists this ribosomal RNA (467 nucleotides) under uncultured bacterium. RNAcentral describes it as "partial 16S ribosomal RNA". It matches the Rfam family "Bacterial small subunit ribosomal RNA", at positions 29 to 507 of the family's 1533-position model. The record is from RNAcentral.